This 515-nucleotide ribosomal RNA is filed under the name uncultured bacterium. Its description in RNAcentral is "partial 16S ribosomal RNA". It matches the Rfam family "Bacterial small subunit ribosomal RNA", at positions 28 to 523 of the family's 1533-position model. The record is from RNAcentral.
GACGAACGCUGGCGGCGUGCCUAAUACAUGCAAGUCGAGCGGACUUUCAAGAAGCUUGCUUUUUGAAAGUUAGCGGCGGACGGGUGAGUAACACGUGGGCAACCUGCCUGUAAGACGGGGAUAACUCCGGGAAACCGGGGCUAAUACCGGAUAAUAUCUUUCUUCGCAUGAAGGAAGGUUGAAAGGCGGCGCAAGCUGCCGCUUGCAGAUGGGCCCGCGGCGCAUUAGCUAGUUGGUGAGGUAACGGCUCACCAAGGCGACGAUGCGUAGCCGGCCUGAGAGGGUGGUCGGCCACACUGGGACUGAGACACGGCCCAGACUCCUACGGGAGGCAGCAGUAGGGAAUCUUCCGCAAUGGACGAAAGUCUGACGGAGCAACGCCGCGUGAGCGAAGAAGGUCUUCGGAUCGUAAAGCUCUGUUGUCAGGGAAGAACAAGUACCGUUCGAAUAGGGCGGUACCUUGACGGUACCUGACCAGAAAGCCACGGCUAACUACGUGCCAGCCGCCGCGGUAA